Molecule: ribosomal RNA, 430 nt
Filed under: Tantilla alticola
Lineage: Eukaryota; Metazoa; Chordata; Lepidosauria; Squamata; Colubridae
Description: partial 16S ribosomal RNA
Rfam family: Bacterial large subunit ribosomal RNA
Source: RNAcentral
CAAAGGUAGCAUAAUCAUUUGUCUACUAAUUAUAGACCUGCAUGAAAGGCAAAAUGAGGGCCCAACUGUCUCUUAUAAUAAAUCAAUUAAACUGAUCUCCUAGUAAAAAAGCUAGAAUCCUAACACAAGACCAGAAGACCCUGUGAAGCUUAAACUAAACUAUUAAACCAUGUAAUAACUAAUUUUGGUUGGGGCGACCUUGGAAAAAAAAAGAACUUCCAAACAUAAUAACUUCCACAUAUAAAAUUAGGCUAACAAGCCAUCUAAUGACCCAGCUAGACUGAUAAAUGAACCAAGUUACUCCAGGGAUAACAGCGCAAUCUUCUUUAAGAGCCCAUAUCAAAAAGAAGGUUUACGACCUCGAUGUUGGAUCAGGACAUCCUAAUGGUGCAGAAGCUAUUAAGGGUUCGUUUGUUCAACGAUUAAUAGU